GUAGUUGUGGCCAAGUGGGUAAGGUGAUAGACUAGAAAUCCAUUGGGGGUCUCCCAACACAGGUUUGAAUCCUGCCAACCAUG
Molecule: non-coding RNA, 83 nt
Organism: Chelonia mydas (Green sea turtle)
Lineage: Eukaryota; Metazoa; Chordata; Testudines; Cheloniidae
Source: Rfam